This is a long non-coding RNA of Piliocolobus tephrosceles (Ugandan red Colobus), 2042 nucleotides long. NCBI's taxonomy places the organism in Eukaryota, Metazoa, Chordata, Mammalia, Primates, Cercopithecidae. The record is from Ensembl.
UAAAGUAACAGGAAAUGAUAUAAAAUUUAUGAAAGAUUAUGAUUUUCCUUAUACAGAUGAAUACAUGAAAGAUAAAGUUUCUUGUGGUGAUUCGGAUAUGGACGAAUUAAUGUUAAAUGAUAAUAACAAUAAAUAUUCAAAUGGAAUGAAUAGUGGUAUGAACAACGGUAUGAAUAGUGGUAUGAACAAUGGUAUGAACAACAGUAUGAACAAUGGAAUGAACAACAGUAUGAAUAAUAAUUCACAUAGUUAUAAUGAUAUAAAUAAUUUAAUACAUAUGAAUAAUUAUAACAAUGGUAUUAACAAUAACAAUAAUAAUAGUAUGAUAAUGAUGAAUAAUAUGAAUAAUAAAAAUUAUAAUGUGAAAUUAGAAAAAAUGAAAAAAAAAUGACAUGUUAUUACAUAAUUGGAAUAAGUCUAAUGCAUCGGAAGGUCAUCCUGAACAUUUACCUAGAAUACCAGGUGUUCGAUAUAAUCCUAAAAAACAACAAUGGUUAGCUGCUUGGAAUGAUAACACUCGUGAGAUUAGACGUUAUUUUUCUAUUAAACAAUAUGGAUUUGAACAGGCUAGAAUUUUAGCUGUAAAAGCAAGACAAGAUGCUGAAAAAGCAGGUGCUAGGUGUAAACCAAUGAUUAAUGUACAUGGACGAAAAGGAAAUACAACUGAUGAUUUAAUUUAUGACAGUUCAGGUAGAACUAACGAUAUGGAUGAUAGUAAUAGUAUUGGUCAUGUAAAUAAUGAAGAUCACCAUGAUGGAAAUAAUGAUGGUAAUUAUGAAGGACAACCUGACGAUAAUAAUGAAGAAAAUCACGAUGAUAAUAAUAAAUAUAUAACAAAUAAUGGAUCAAUAGAUAUUAGUAAUGUUGAUGAUGGUGGUGGUGGUGGUGGUAUGUAUAAUAAUCAGAUAAGUAUGCAAAAUAAUAAUUAUAAAAAUAUGAACAGUAAUAAUAAUAAUUAUAGUAUGAUGCAAAAUAAUGAGAAUUAUGGUAAUACACAAAAUAAUGGUUACCCAAAUAUGUUUACUAAUAAUACAAAUAUAAAUGGUAAUAAUAAUACAAUGUCUAAUAUAAUAUCACAAACAACGUUAAGCGGUAAUGUAAUAGGAAACACAUCUGUAGUUGGAUUAGGUAAUGUAAAUGGUUUUAAUUCAUCCACAUUGUUAGAAGGAGGAAAAGUUGAGGCAGAUGGAUUAAAUAAAAAAAUUAUAAUAAAAAAUGAAAAUAGUAAAGUUGUAAAAAGAGGAAGAGGUAGACCUCCUAAAAGAAAAUUAAGUGAAGAUUCACAAAUGUCUUUAGACGAAUUAGAACAAAAUAUAUAUAGACAUCGUGACAAUUUAGAUUUAUUAUAUACAACGAGUCCAUUUAAUAAAGGUUAUUUUCAACCAAUGAAAGGAGUAACAUAUAAUGAAGGAAAACAUGCAUGGUUAGCUUAUUGGGUUCAUGGUAAAAAUUUUCAAAUGAGAAGGUUUCCAACAAGAAAAAUAGGAUUUGAAAAAGCAAAAGAAUCUGCAAUACGUUGUAGAAUAGAAGCUGAACAAGCUGGUGCUACUACAAAUGAAAAUAAAUCAAAAAAAUUGAAAAAUUAUUUUCCAUUACAACAACAACUUGGUGAUAACAGUAGAAUAGAUGGUAACAACGGAUCAAUGAUGGAUCCAGCAGGUUGUAUGUUAGAACAUGAAGACAAUAUGAUGGAUAAUAAAAAUAUGAAUAGUAACAAUAUGUUAUUAUCACAGAUGCAUACAUAUAAUAUGGGGAAGCAUCGUAUAGGAGGUUCAGGACCUAAUAGUGGUACCAACACCAAUAACCAUAGUAACAUGACACUAUAUAAUAAUAUUGGUGGUGGUAAUAACAACAUGGGUGGUAAUGGGAACAGAAAUAACCCUAUGAAUAAUAAUAUGAAUAAUUGUGGUAGUAGUAAUAGUAGUGGUGGUAUGUUACACAUAAGUAAUAACAAUAAUAACAAUAAUAGUAAUAAUAACAACAAUAGUAAUAAUAACAAUAAUAAUAGUAAUAAUAACAAUAGUAAUAAUAACAACAAUAGU